GGCGCGCAAAUUACCCACUCCCAGCACGGGGAGGUAGUGACGAAAAAUAACGAUACGGGACUCAUCCGAGGCCCCGUAAUCGGAAUGAGUACACUCUAAACUCUUCCCCAAAAAUCAAUUGGAGGGUAAGUCUGGUGCCAGCAGCCGCGGUAAUUCCAGCUCCAAUAGCGUAUAUUAAAGUUGUUGCGGUUAAAAAGCUCGUAGUCGAACCUGUGUCCUGCGCCGCUGGUUCAUCGCUCGCGGUGUCCAACUGGCGUGUCGCGGGACGUCCUGCCGGUGGGAUCGUGUGUUGCUUAGGCGGCGCGCGUCCCAACUCGUUUCCGUCUCGCGCGGUUGCGAAUCCCAUCGCGGUGCUCUUUGUUGAGUGUCGAGGUGGGCCGGCACGUUUACUUUGAACAAAUUAGAGUGCUUAAAGCAGGCCAAUUUUGCCUGAAUAUUGUGUGCAUGGAAUAAUGGAAUAGGACCUCGGUUCUAUUUUGUUGGUUUUCGGAACCCCGAGGUAAUGAUUAAUAGGAACGGAUGGGGGCAUUCGUAUUGCGACGUUAGAGGUGAAAUUCUUGGAUCGUCGCAGGACGGACAGAAGCGAAAGCAUUUGCCAAAAACGUUUUCAUUGAUCAAGAACGAAAGUUAGAGGUUCGAAGGCGAUCAGAUACCGCCCUAGUUCUAACCAUAAACGAUGCCAGCUAGCGAUCCGCCGACGUUCCUCCGAUGACUCGGCGGGCAGCUUCCGGGAAACCAAAGCUUUUGGGUUCCGGGGGAAGUAUGGUUGCAAAGCUGAAACUUAAAGGAAUUGACGGAAGGGCACCACCAGGAGUGGAGCCUGCGGCUUAAUUUGACUCAACACGGGACACCUUACCAGGCCCGGACACCGGAAGGAUUGACAGAUUGAGAGCUCUUUCUUGAUUCGGUGGGUGGUGGUGCAUGGCCGUUCUUAGUUGGUGGAGCGAUUU
Molecule: ribosomal RNA, 950 nt
Filed under: Aloconota cambrica
Lineage: Eukaryota; Metazoa; Arthropoda; Insecta; Coleoptera; Staphylinidae
Description: SSU rRNA
Rfam family: Eukaryotic small subunit ribosomal RNA
Source: RNAcentral